RNAcentral lists this ribosomal RNA (460 nucleotides) under uncultured bacterium. RNAcentral's name for it is "partial 16S ribosomal RNA". It matches the Rfam family "Bacterial small subunit ribosomal RNA", at positions 338 to 795 of the family's 1533-position model. The record is from RNAcentral.
CCUACGGGAGGCAGCAGUGAGGAAUAUUGGUCAAUGGACGAGAGUCUGAACCAGCCAAGUAGCGUGAAGGAUGACUGCCCUAUGGGUUGUAAACUUCUUUUAUAUGGGAAUAAAAUGUUCCACGUGUGGGAUUUUGUAUGUACCAUAUGAAUAAGGAUCGGCUAACUCCGUGCCAGCAGCCGCGGUAAUACGGAGGAUCCGAGCGUUAUCCGGAUUUAUUGGGUUUAAAGGGAGCGUAGGUGGAUUGUUAAGGCAGUUGUGAAAGUUUGCGGCUCAACCGUAAAAUUGCAGUUGAAACUGGCAGGCUUGAGUACAGUAGAGGUGGGCGGAAUUCGUGGUGUAGCGGUGAAAUGCUUAGAUAUCACGAAGAACUCCGAUUGCGAAGGCAGCUCACUGGACUGCAACUGACACUGAGGCUCGAAAGUGUGGGUAUCAAACAGGAUUAGAUACCCCAGUAGUC